Vitis vinifera (wine grape) is the source of this 619-nucleotide long non-coding RNA. RefSeq lists it as uncharacterized. The record is from RefSeq and is a predicted model, not a curated record. Lineage: Eukaryota; Viridiplantae; Streptophyta; Magnoliopsida; Vitales; Vitaceae. The transcript is spliced from 2 exons.
UUUCCUUAAAAAAUAACGUGGAAAAUAUAAGAGAAAAAGAGCAGGGAAAAGAGGAGGAAAAUUUUGUCGGCUCUUGUUCACCGAAGCUUCAUCUCUAACUUCCUCUUCGUCAGUGGCUAUGGCUUCUCAAAGUCGUCAAACCCUUUCAACGGCCACCACUAUCACUCCGACCACCUUCGAGUGCCUCUGAAAACCUACCAAUUUCAGGCACUCGAGUUCCCAUUGAUGAAGUGCGUUCUUCAAAUCAAGUUCCCAUGGAUGACGGAUCCAUGUCUUCAAGUCAGACUUAUAAUGAAGAAUGGCAAAGACUUAGAAGAUGGGCUGCAACUUGUGUAGCUAUGUAUGCUGCAUAUGCGGCAAUUCUUGUUUCAGUUUAUCAUCGCUCAAACUAUUUGGAGAGAUCAAUCUCUAAUGAAGGAGAUUAUGAACGACAUGCUUUGAUGGAAAGACUUACACUAAUGGAUAAUGAAGAUUGUUAUAAUCAACUACAUAUGGGAAAGGAUGCAUUCGCAAGACUAGUAAACAUUCUUCGGGGAACAGGUCGUCUUAGAAAUAUUGCACAUAGUAAUGUAGAAGAACAAGUUGCCAAAUUCCUUCACAUUGUUGGUCAUAAUUUAAG